CUGAAACCAGAGCGAUGACCCUUCAAAGAGAACACGUUUUUGACUUGAUCGACAAUGGGCUUCAUUCAACCGAAUAUCAACUUGAAGAUUUGUACUCAGGCGAGGAAAUAGGUUCUACAAGGGAGAAUGGCAUUCCAUCAGCGCAGGUUGUAGAUCUCACAGGAGAAGUCGGUAAGUAAGGUUAC
Micropterus salmoides (largemouth bass) is the source of this 185-nucleotide long non-coding RNA. RefSeq lists it as uncharacterized. The transcript has 3 exons. Lineage: Eukaryota; Metazoa; Chordata; Actinopteri; Centrarchiformes; Centrarchidae. The record is from RefSeq and is a predicted model, not a curated record.